UGAUGAUACACAACAGUAACACAUUAUGAUUUUGGCGUGAACAUAGUGGGUUCUGUUGAUAAAAUUUGAAGGGACGUAUUUUUAUGAUUCAUGCUAGAUCAUCCGCCGUUGACAAGACCCUCUCUUGGUGAUGAGAAAUACAGUGAGGAGGGCUUUAAUCAACAUGUGUCUUUCUUCAAAGUUAUGCUUGUAUACUUUGCAGAGAAACUGGCAUUGCUGCACGUAAGCUUUUCUCUUAGGACAUGAGGAUGUCUGAUGUAGAUGAAGUGGGAUGUUGUAUUUGUAUAUGGAUAUGAAUUGAUGUAACAUUGUUAUGAUGAUAUACAAUGUCCAUGAGCAAAUUGGUUUAGUUAUAUUGAUGAUAUACAAUGUAUCUAUA
Cryptomeria japonica (Japanese cedar) is the source of this 379-nucleotide long non-coding RNA. RefSeq lists it as uncharacterized. The transcript has 4 exons. The record is from RefSeq and is a predicted model, not a curated record. NCBI's taxonomy places the organism in Eukaryota, Viridiplantae, Streptophyta, Pinopsida, Cupressales, Cupressaceae.